GAUGAACGCUAGCGGCAGGCCUAACACAUGCAAGUCGAGGGGCAGCACAGGUAGCAAUACUGGGUGGCGACCGGCGGAUGGGUGCGUAACGCGUAUGCAACCUACCAUUGAUUGGGGGCAUAGCCCGAAGAAAUUCGGAUUAAUACUCCAUAAUAUUCAUCAAAGGCAUCUUUUAUGAAUUAAAGCUUUUGCGAUCAAUGAUGGGCAUGCGUGACAUUAGUUAGUUGGUGAGGUAACGGCUCACCAAAACGAUGAUGUCUAGGGGUUCUGAGAGGAUUAUCCCCCACACUGGUACUGAGACACGGACCAGACUCCUACGGGAGGCAGCAGUGAGGAAUAUUGGUACAAUGGACGCAAGUCUGAACCAGCCAUGCCGCGUGCGAGGAUGACGGCCCUAUGGGGUUAGUAAACUGUCCUUUUCCACGGGAACGAACCCUCCGACGUGUCGGAGACUGACGGUACCGUGGGAAUAAGCAUCGGCUAACUCCGUGCC
RNAcentral lists this ribosomal RNA (493 nucleotides) under uncultured bacterium. Its description in RNAcentral is "bacterial SSU rRNA". It matches the Rfam family "Bacterial small subunit ribosomal RNA", at positions 28 to 509 of the family's 1533-position model. The record is from RNAcentral.